AACCUUCACCAAUUAGGUUCAAAUAAGUGGU
This 31-nucleotide unclassified non-coding RNA is filed under the name Tetrahymena thermophila. Its description in RNAcentral is "Telomerase RNA pseudoknot from Tetrahymena thermophila (PDB 5KMZ, chain A)". Lineage: Eukaryota; Ciliophora; Oligohymenophorea; Hymenostomatida; Tetrahymenidae. The record is from RNAcentral.